CAGCAGCCGCGGUAAUACGAAGGGGGCUAGCGUUGUUCGGAAUUACUGGGCGUAAAGCGCACGUAGGCGGACAUUUAAGUCAGGGGUGAAAUCCCGGGGCUCAACCCCGGAACUGCCUUUGAUACUGGGUGUCUAGAGUAUGGAAGAGGUGAGUGGAAUUCCGAGUGUAGAGGUGAAAUUCGUAGAUAUUCGGAGGAACACCAGUGGCGAAGGCGGCUCACUGGUCCAUUACUGACGCUGAGGUGCGAAAGCGUGGGGAGCAAACAGGAUUAGAUACCCCCGUAGUCCCUGUCUCUUAUAC
Molecule: ribosomal RNA, 301 nt
Filed under: uncultured bacterium
Lineage: Bacteria
Description: partial 16S ribosomal RNA
Rfam family: Bacterial small subunit ribosomal RNA
Source: RNAcentral